RNAcentral lists this ribosomal RNA (509 nucleotides) under uncultured bacterium. Its description in RNAcentral is "bacterial SSU rRNA". It matches the Rfam family "Bacterial small subunit ribosomal RNA", at positions 15 to 518 of the family's 1533-position model. The record is from RNAcentral.
GAUCUGGCUCAGAUUGAACGCUGGCGGCAGGCUUAACACAUGCAAGUCGAGCGGGGAAAUGUAGCUUGCUACAUUACCUAGCGGCGGACGGGUGAGUAAUGCUUAGGAAUCUGCCUAUUAGUGGGGGACAACAUCUCGAAAGGGAUGCUAAUACCGCAUACGUCCUACGGGAGAAAGCAGGGGACCUUCGGGCCUUGCGCUAAUAGAUGAGCCUAAGUCGGAUUAGCUAGUUGGUGGGGUAAAGGCCUACCAAGGCGACGAUCUGUAGCGGGUCUGAGAGGAUGAUCCGCCACACUGGGACUGAGACACGGCCCAGACUCCUACGGGAGGCGGCAGUGGGGAAUAUUGGACAAUGGGGGGAACCCUGAUCCAGCCAUGCCGCGUGUGUGAAGAAAGGCCUUUUGGUUGUAAAGCACUUUAAGCGAGGAGGAGGCUACCGAGAUUAAUACUCUUGGAUAGUGGACGUUACUCGCAGAAUAAGCACCGGCUAACUCUGUGCCAGCAGCGGC